Molecule: ribosomal RNA, 377 nt
Filed under: Mimosestes amicus
Lineage: Eukaryota; Metazoa; Arthropoda; Insecta; Coleoptera; Chrysomelidae
Description: partial 12S ribosomal RNA
Source: RNAcentral
UUCUUUCUAGAUACACUUUCCAGUACAUCUACUUUGUUACGACUUAUUUCAUUUUAAAAUGAAAGCGACGGGCGAUAUGUACAUAUUUUAGAGCUAUAAUCAUUUUAAAUAAAUUUAUUAAAAUUUACAUUCAAAUCCAAAUUCAAAUUUUUAUAAUAAAAAUUAUUCUUAAAUAAAUUUAAUGUAACCCAUCUCUACUUCAAUAUAAACUACACCUUGAUCUGAUUUAUUUUUUAAUUAAAAUUCCUGAAUAUUAAUAUUCUAAUAAAAUAUUCAAACUACGACGAUAUGUAAAUUUAUAAUUAAAGUGAAUAUUAUCGUGGACUAUCAAUUACAGGACAGGUUCCUCUGAAAAGACUAAAAUACCGCCAAAUUUU